Molecule: ribosomal RNA, 151 nt
Filed under: Fasciola gigantica
Lineage: Eukaryota; Metazoa; Platyhelminthes; Trematoda; Plagiorchiida; Fasciolidae
Description: partial 18S ribosomal RNA
Rfam family: Eukaryotic small subunit ribosomal RNA
Source: RNAcentral
UACCACCGAUUGUAUGGUUUAACAAGGUCCUCGGAUUGGUGCCAUUGCAAUGGCUUCGGCCGCUCCACCGGUGCUGACAAGACGACCAAACUUGAUCAUUUAGAGGAAGUAAAAGUCGUAACAAGGUUUCCGUAAGUGAACCUGCGGAAGG